Molecule: non-coding RNA, 3360 nt
Organism: Podarcis lilfordi (Lilford's wall lizard)
Lineage: Eukaryota; Metazoa; Chordata; Lepidosauria; Squamata; Lacertidae
Source: the annotation of a GenBank genome assembly
CAACAGCUGUAGCCUUUCCAGCUGCCUCAUUCUGCCUCAUUACAUGGUCAGUUCUGAAUUAUGUCACAAUGCAGGACUAGGCAGUUGCUUUCUGUUUGGCUGUCAAAUCUUAUGCAGGUAAGAUAUAGAAGGAAGGCCUAUAUUUGUUAAUGUGGCACAUGCCAGAACUGCACAGCAGCACAGGAGAUAGCACAGUGAUAUUCUAUGGUCCCAUUAUUAAGUAAUUUCCCUGCUCUUAUGAUAAUUGUGCAGCUACUGAGUGUGUCAGCACUCCAGGGUCCAUUAAUUGUACUCAUAAUGUUUAUCAUUCCAAUUUCUGUCAGCCUAUAACUUCGAAAUCGCACAUAUUUAGUAACAGUUAAAGCAACACAUACACAUAGUACAAGAAAAUGUUCUCACUUCAUCAAAGCUGUUAGCUGCUUUCAAAAUUAUCUGGAUGUUCUUGCCCAAGAAGAGACCUCAAAAACUGCCUCAGGAAUUCAAUUGUAGCAAAAUUCAGUUGCAUCCCUCAAAUUGGAAAUACUAAGAACUGAGUUGUGGCAACUUGUACAUCAAGACUAGAUCCUUCUCUAGUCUAGUCUAGAGUAGAUGCCACAGACCAAUUUGUAAAGAAUCAUAGUCGUGUUUCGAAUUUGCCUCACAAUAGCUGCGCUUCAAAUCCCAGUAUACAAUUUUGAAAAGAAAAGAACAGAUAACAAGGAAGAGACCAUUGGCCCAUGUUGUCAGUAUAGAUACCAUGUUGUAUUCCAUAUUGGGGCAAAGUUGGGAACUGGAAGCACUGAGAUCCCAAACAUCCUUUAAUGAAUUGAUUAAUGUUCAGCAACAUUCAGAGGGCCAUGAUUUUCCACACCUGAUACACAAUGUCAAGGCAGGUUCUUCCCCAUGUCAUAUUAGCUUUAUAGAAAUACUUUGCAGGACUCUAGCUUAGCUCUCACCUUUGGGUUUCUGUUUUUGAGAGCUGCACAUGCCAUUGUGAAAAAGAUCCAACUGCCUUGGAAUCUUGGGAGAUUCAAAGCUAUUCAUGGGUCGGUGUGCUGGACCGCUCUGAGAAAUUUUCCCUGACUUCUUCAACCUGUUUUGGCUCCCCACACAAUUCUGUAAAUGUUUCUCAUCGAAAGGGGACUCCCACCCCACAUUUACUUAAUUUAAAUAUUGAUGAAGUAUAGGUGGCAGUUCCAGUUUGGGCAGAGAAGAUCAUCUUCUACAUUUUGUGCAUGCUUUCUAUUUCAAGCUGUAAAGCGAUUUAUGGUAAUACUGUAUGGGAGCAAGCAGAAAUGUUAUGCACUGAGGGUGGUGUUCAAGCUUUUAACAUCUGUGCGAGCAUGGAAAAUCAUACAUGAUUAAUUUAUUUUCUUUAUGUCUCCAUACUCUUCUCAGAAAGCACGGUUCGCCUGCUUCACUGUAUUAAGAGGCAGAAAUGCUGCAAUUCUUUACAAUCAAAGCAGGUGUAACCAGACUGUUAAGGGAAAUUUCUCAGCAUCCCCUGUACAGCUGCCCAGUCAACCGGUCAACCAGUCAGGCAUGCUCAAUUUUUACAGCUCCUGCAGCAAACAACAGCUACGCCCACAGCAUUAGAUGUUGUGUCAAGCAGUAUGUUUUGGCUGUGUGCAGGUGGCACACUGCGACAUGCUACAAUCUGAGGCCUUUUUUUUUUUUUUUACUCCAGUGAGGUUUGAGAAAGAAGACCCUAAAUGUUUAAAAUGCUUUUAUCCAUGGAAUUAUAGGAGUAGGGAACAGGGAGGAAAAAAUGAGAAGGAAACAUUACACGAGCGACAUGCAAAAUCUGUUCUUUUCUGCCUUCCCACAUUCUAGUACCUGCCAUGGCUAUGGCUAGCUUUCCCCAUAUCUAGACCCAGAAGCCUUCAGAGGGAAGGGGAGAGAAAGCAAGAAUGGAGUAAGCCAAGGGUCCUGCUCUGUUGACCAAGCAGGUCAAGAGCCUCUGAAUGUCUUUACCAGGACUAGCCAAUAUAAGCAGCAGUGGCUGAUGUGGUUGGGUGGACCCACUCUCACUACAGUGGCAUCACUGCAGCUCACCUGUAUGGAGAUGUAGUGCAGUGGGUAGCAAGGAGAAUAGGGCUUAGGGGAUGAACUGACAGCUGUUCCAGAAGUGCUGCACUGGUGCAGCUGCACAGCCCUCGGUAAGCUUCAGGAAGUGUUGGGAUGGCACUGCCCCAGUUGAAGUUCCUUGAAUUGUUUCUGAUGAGGUAAAAGGUAAAGGUAAAGGACCCCUGGAUGGUUAAAUCUGGUCAAAGGUGACUAUGGGUUUGCGGUGCUCAUUUUGCUUUCAGACUGAGAGAGUCCCCGUUUGUCCACAGACAGCUUUCUGGGUCAUGUCGCCAGCAUGACUAAACCGUUUCUGGCACAACAGAACACCGUGACAGGCACUACAGUGCCCAGAAACACUGUUUACCUUCCUGCCGCAGCGGUACCUAUGUAUCUACUUGCACUGGCAUACUUUCAAACUGCUAGGUUGGCAGGAGCUGGGAGAGAGCAAAAGGAGCUCACUCCGUCGUGGGGAUUCGAACCGCCGACCUUCUGAUCGGCAAGCCCAAGAGGCUCAGUGUUUAGACCACAACGCCACUUGUGUCCCAUGCUUUUUGAUGAGAACCCUAUAUGAAAACAAGGUGCUGCCCUCCCACAGGCUGAAGAUGGACGUACCAGUCCAUCAGCACACCAAGGCAGCUCAGGGUAAAAUAAUCUCUUGGGCUACUGAUUACCUUAACCUGAGGUAAUCUGUUGUUUGCAUCUGACUGCCUCAACAGACAAUGGAGUGCACCUUAGGGGCUGAAGUCAAACUACUGGAGAUUCAUAGUAUCUGCUGUGGCUGCAGAGACCGGUAACUUAUAAAUGCUGCCUCCUGUGUUGUUUUUCUGUAUUCGUGGCACCAAAGUGAUCUCUCCAUUGUGCAAGACUGAUUAGUGUGUAUGGAGGUCCUGGGCAGCCCAAAUGAAAAGACACUCUCCCCCUUGGCCUCAAUGAUGUGGUCCAAAGGAAAGCAGAGCAAUACAUUUGGCACCAGCUUGGCUGCAGGAGUUGCCAGAAGGAAGCGUACAAGGUGCCAUUCAACCAACUUAGGGACUCUACUCCAGAUUUGUGUAUACCUUAGCCUUUUCUUUUCCCAAAGAUGUGCUACAACACAACAUAUGCACUUUUUCCUCAAGGUUUACCCCCAAAGACUUGAAUGUGUAUGGCUGCAGUGCUGUGGAGGUAAUCCCACCUUUGUUAACUGUGUAAAAGGAAAGACCUAUGAAAAGCAAAUUAAAUUGGUUGUAUGAGUACCUGGAUCAGGGAGUUUGUGAAGGCCUAUCUUAAAACAUACACAGUGGAUUCUCCGAGCCACAACAUGAAGCACCUGAUGGG